UGGGGAAUAUUGGACAAUGGGCGAAAGCCUGAUCCAGCCAUGCCGCGUGUGUGAAGAAGGCCUUUUGGUUGUAAAGCACUUUAAGCGAGGAGGAGGCUACUAGUACUAAUACUACUGGAUAGUGGACGUUACUCGCAGAAUAAGCACCGGCUAACUCUGUGCCAGCAGCCGCGGUAAUACAGAGGGUGCAAGCGUUAAUCGGAAUUACUGGGCGUAAAGCGCGCGUAGGUGGUUCGUUAAGUUGAAUGUGAAAGCCCCGGGCUCAACCUGGGAACUGCAUCCAAAACUGGCGAGCUAGAGUAGGGCAGAGGGUGGUGGAAUUUCCUGUGUAGCGGUGAAAUGCGUAGAUAUAGGAAGGAACACCAGUGGCGAAGGCGACCACCUGGGCUCAUACUGACACUGAGGUGCGAAAGCGUGGGGAGCAAACAGG
Molecule: ribosomal RNA, 430 nt
Filed under: Pseudomonadota bacterium
Lineage: Bacteria; Pseudomonadati; Pseudomonadota
Description: Proteobacteria bacterium partial 16S ribosomal RNA
Rfam family: Bacterial small subunit ribosomal RNA
Source: RNAcentral